RNAcentral lists this non-coding RNA (258 nucleotides) under Acetohalobium arabaticum. RNAcentral's name for it is "T-box sequence". It matches the Rfam family "T-box leader". Rfam says of the family: Uncharged tRNA acts as the effector for transcription antitermination of genes in the T-box leader family. T-boxes are found upstream of many aminoacyl-tRNA synthetase genes and some amino acid biosynthetic genes usually in Gram-positive bacteria. The anticodon of a specific tRNA base pairs to a specifier sequence within the T-box motif, and the NCCA acceptor tail of the tRNA base pairs to a conserved bulge in the T-box antiterminator hairpin. Lineage: Bacteria; Bacillati; Bacillota; Clostridia; Halanaerobiales; Halobacteroidaceae. The record is from RNAcentral.
UCAAUAGCGUUGAAAGAGGAAAGUAGAUCUUAGGCGAAACGACAGCGAGCUAAGGACGGUGAGAGCUUAGCUUGAAGUUUAAGAUUGAAGUUCCCUCUGGAGUUGCUGGCUGAAGAAUAAGUAGGCUAAGCCGGAAAUCCUCCGUUAUCUAGGGAAGGGAUAUAAGAGUAGUUUUACUCCGUAUCCUAUAAGAGCGGGUUAACUAUAGCAGUUGACCAAUCAGAAUGGUAACACGAAACCAAACUCUUCGUUUCUGAA